AGAGUUUGAUCCUGGCUCAGAACGAACGCUGGCGGCAUGCCUAACACAUGCAAGUCGAACGCCUGUAGCAAUACAGGAGUGGCGGACGGGUGAGUAACACGUGGGAAUCUACCCAGUAGCCUGGAAUAACCGCGGGAAACUGCGGCUAAUACCGGAUACGCCCCGAGGGGGAAAGGAGCAAUCCACUAUUGGAGGAGCCC
This 200-nucleotide ribosomal RNA is filed under the name uncultured bacterium. RNAcentral's name for it is "partial 16S ribosomal RNA". It matches the Rfam family "Bacterial small subunit ribosomal RNA", at positions 8 to 232 of the family's 1533-position model. The record is from RNAcentral.